UAGUAAUUUUAUGCCAUUCGUGACGUCUUGCCAGCGCUGGAACAUAGUACAGUUCCUGUAAAUUGACUUUCUGUCCUUGCGAAACAUUGCUGGUCUCACACUCGGAUGGUUUCUCCCUCUGCCCAGGGUCUUCAAAACCACCCCUCUCGAUAUGACUUCGCCUGGGACUCUCCUCUCCAGGGCCUCCCCGUCUGCCGAUAGAAAACGUAUCCAGACUUCACGCACUGAGGUUUUUGCUCUCCCCUUAGGCGAUCUGAAAAAUGGACCAGGAAUAAGCAGACAGGAAGAUAAUCAUUUAUAGGAACAUGGAUGCACCUCAAGCCGAUAAAGCUAAAUGGAACAAAUCAGAUGCAGACGGCUGACUGUAGCAUUGGUUUCUCUUCUUUGAAAAACCCAAAGGAUAAAGAGUUUAGAGAGCCAAGCUCUGAGUUCGAAUUCUGAUGCAGCACAAUGCCGUCCUCCUCCAUUAGGCUCAGAGAUCCGG
Molecule: long non-coding RNA, 484 nt
Organism: Fukomys damarensis (Damara mole-rat)
Lineage: Eukaryota; Metazoa; Chordata; Mammalia; Rodentia; Bathyergidae
Exons: 3
Source: RefSeq, a predicted model, not a curated record